This is an RNA transcript of Globicephala melas (long-finned pilot whale), 1260 nucleotides long. It is a transcript of the gene named syntaxin 8, with no coding region annotated. NCBI's taxonomy places the organism in Eukaryota, Metazoa, Chordata, Mammalia, Artiodactyla, Delphinidae. The record is from RefSeq and is a predicted model, not a curated record.
GUUCCGGUCGCGCACGGGUCGAGCCGCGGGGUGUGAGCCGCGCGGGCCGCCGUAGUCAGCUGUUGCGAGCAGGAAGUGUCCGAGGAGUGGGUGGAGACUGCACCAUGGCCCCGGACCCCUGGUUCUCCACCUACGAUUCUACCUGCCAAAUUGCACAAGAGAUUGCUGAGAAAAUUCAACAACGAAAUCAGUAUGAAAGAAAUGGUGAAAAUACAACCAAGCUUACCGUGACAAUCAGAGCUUUGUUGCAGAAACUGAAGGAAAAGAUCGCCCUUUUGAAGGACUUAUUGCUAAGAGCUGUGUCAACACAUCAGAUAACACAGCUCGAAGGAGACCGAAGACAAAACCUUUUGGAUGAUCUUGUAACUCGAGAGAGACUACUUCUGACAUCCUUUAAGAACGAGGGUGCAGAACCAGAUCUCAUCAGGUCCAGCCUGAUGACUGGAGGGGCCAAGCGAGGAGGACCCAACCCGUGGCUCUUCGAGGAGCCGGAGGAGACCAGAGGCUUGGGUUUUGAUGAAAUCCGGGAACAGCAGCAGAAAAUUAUCCAAGAACAGGACGCAGGCCUUGAUGCCCUUUCCUCCAUCAUAAGUCGCCAGAAACAAAUGGGGCAGGAAAUUGGGAAUGAACUGAAUGAACAAAAUGAGAUAAUUGAUGACCUUGCCAACCUGGUGGAGAAUACCGAUGAGAAACUUCGCACCGAAACCAGGCGUGUGAAUCUGGUGGACAGGAAGUCCACGUCUUGUGAGAAAUCACAACCAUUUGGAAGUUUAAAUAUAGCCUCCAGAAAGCCAGCGAGCUCAGCUCCUGGUGGCUGCGUGGCGCCAGCCCCGGCCCCAUCCCUGCGCCGAACGAAGCCUCAGCGAUGGCUUGAGAAAAGUCUUGAACGUCACUAACCCUGUUGUCUCUGCUGCUACUGUGGAGGCAGAGUGCCAGGCGGGCGCGAGGGGCCUCCCACUGACCAGGACCUGAGGAUGCUGGCUCAGGACAGAAGCCCCAGCCUGUAGGCCUGAUGCCAUCACCAGGGCCAGCAUCUCAGGGGUGACUCACCCAGAAGCACCCCCUGUGGCCUGCGAGGGAACCGCGGAGGAUCAGACAGCCCGGCUCUGCCACUUAUCUGCACGGGGACACUGGGGAGGAGCCGGGCCUCGACUGCAGUGUGCGGCCAGUGCAGCGGGCGCCCCCAGGCGACAGGCCAUCUUCGGGGGCCACCAGAAAGGAGUGGGCAGGGUGCUGCCCGGCAGUACCAGGACAGCCAGG